Molecule: ribosomal RNA, 253 nt
Filed under: uncultured bacterium
Lineage: Bacteria
Description: partial 16S ribosomal RNA
Rfam family: Bacterial small subunit ribosomal RNA
Source: RNAcentral
UACGGAGGGUGCGAACGUUGCUCGGAAUUACUGGGCGUAAAGCGCGUGUAGGCGGGUGAUCAAGUCGGGUGUGAAAUCCCCAGGCUCAACCUGGGAACUGCAUUCGAAACUGGUCGCCUUGAGUGCUGGAGAGGGAAGCGGAAUUCCUGGUGUAGCGGUGAAAUGCGCAGAUAUCAGGAGGAACACCGGUGGCGAAGGCGGAUCUCUGGGCCUUACCUGACGCUGAGGCGCGAAAGCUAGGGGAGCGAACAGG